Molecule: ribosomal RNA, 330 nt
Filed under: Collybia nuda
Lineage: Eukaryota; Fungi; Basidiomycota; Agaricomycetes; Agaricales; Clitocybaceae
Description: Lepista nuda partial 18S ribosomal RNA
Source: RNAcentral
UUCCCCAUUACUUAUCGCUUUCCGUGUUUUCUGAGGAAACCAAGAGUUCCGUGAUGAAAGUUUAUAAUUAAAGGCUAUCAGCCCCAUUAAUGACAUUCUAUACAUUCGUAUGGUAUAUAAACACAUAGCUGAAGCACAAGAAAGCUAAGCUUCUGCAUAGCAUCCCUCAAACCGAUAUACUCGAGUAUUGCUCCAUAUCUACAAAAUGUGCACAGGGGUAAAAGUGGCGCUAGGCGUCCACAUGCUCCAAAAACCCACCCCACCCCCACCAAGUUUAUUCAAUAAUUGUCCCCCCCUUCGUGAGAGGGGUGACCUGCGGAAGGAUCAUUA